This 657-nucleotide unclassified non-coding RNA is filed under the name Hevea brasiliensis (rubber tree). The record is from RNAcentral. Lineage: Eukaryota; Viridiplantae; Streptophyta; Magnoliopsida; Malpighiales; Euphorbiaceae.
GUUGAAACAACUUAAAUUAUCUGUAAUACAAGUACAACAAAAGGCAAACAACAAAUUCCUUGUAGAAGCUAAAACUGAUCAAAUGUUAAGAACGUCUCAGAGUUCUGCAUUCAUAUGUGUACAAUUUAAAACAAACUAGAUCAACCUGCCAUAUGACUAAAUCUGAAACAAUAACAUAACUCAUCGAGCUGGAAGGCGAUGUCUUAUGAUACCCUGAUCUUCGUACAACUCAAAGUUUGCUUUAGUAAAUUCAUUGCUUGAGAAAAAUGCUUUGAGAUCAGUCAUGCCAUAAUCAAGUGCCUUGCUUUGUAGCUCCUCAACCUUGACAUCAAUAUGGUCUAGGUUGGCAGCAGAACCUGAAACAAUUUCCUCAAACUGCAAUGCAUCUUUUACAAGCCCACGUAGGAGGUGAAGAAUGAUAGCAUUGAAAUCUUUUUUGUAUGUCAUGUACUUUUUGAAGCUCUUUUGCAAUGCUUUUUGAACCCCAAAUUUCUGGGUUGAUAUAAAUGAAUCCAGAAGGACACGAAUUGCCAUAUCCACAUCUUCUUGAGUAACAUGUUGUCUAAGAUGCAUCCUUGCAUGGGCUUCAGACAUCCUUAUCAUCGAUUCAAUGUGCCUCACUGCUAUGGGAAUUCCUUGUCCAUGCGAAGAUUCUCU